UGUUUGAUGUUCUAACGUUGGCCCGUAAUCCGGGUUGCGGACAGUGUCUGGUGGGUAGUUUGACUGGGGCGGUCUCCUCCUAAAGAGUAACGGAGGAGCACGAAGGUUGGCUAAUCCUGGUCGGACAUCAGGAGGUUAGUGCAAUGGCAUAAGCCAGCUUGACUGCGAGCGUGACGGCGCGAGCAGGUGCGAAAGCAGGUCAUAGUGAUCCGGUGGUUCUGAAUGGAAGGGCCAUCGCUCAACGGAUAAAAGGUACUCCGGGGAUAACAGGCUGAUACCGCCCAAGAGUUCAUAUCGACGGCGGUGUUUGGCACCUCGAUGUCGGCUCAUCACAUCCUGGGGCUGAAGUAGGUCCCAAGGGUAUGGCUGUUCGCCAUUUAAAGUGGUACGCGAGCUGGGUUUAGAACGUCGUGAGACAGUUCGGUCCCUAUCUGCCGUGGGC
Molecule: ribosomal RNA, 442 nt
Filed under: Escherichia coli
Lineage: Bacteria; Pseudomonadati; Pseudomonadota; Gammaproteobacteria; Enterobacterales; Enterobacteriaceae
Description: partial 23S ribosomal RNA
Rfam family: Bacterial large subunit ribosomal RNA
Source: RNAcentral